UCGUUAUCACACCUGUUUGGACAAACUAUGAUACCCAAAAUGAGGCUGGGAAAUGGAUCGUGACUGCCUGCAUAUGAAUGUGAACUAGGAAAGCAAAGUUCAGGAUACCUUCAUGGAUGCAAAGAUCUUGAUGCUCAUCUUAGUUAUAUCUAGGAAUGGCUACUUUGUUUUUAAAGACAUUUGGUAAUAAGGCCCUAAGCCACAUUCAAAGACUCCUAUUACAGUGUCAUGCUUGUGUCAGUGAACUGAACUCAUCAAUCAUUAUAGCAUCCAGGCUCUUGUAUGUGGGCCCAAUCAAAGGGCACCUUCUCUGCCGUUUAAGCAGGAUCCAGGUGGAGUGAUUCAUACUGUUCUGCUCUUCU
This is a long non-coding RNA of Lontra canadensis (Northern American river otter), 362 nucleotides long. RefSeq lists it as uncharacterized. NCBI's taxonomy places the organism in Eukaryota, Metazoa, Chordata, Mammalia, Carnivora, Mustelidae. The transcript has 4 exons. The record is from RefSeq and is a predicted model, not a curated record.